This 106-nucleotide ribosomal RNA is filed under the name Pteropus alecto (black flying fox). The record is from RNAcentral. Lineage: Eukaryota; Metazoa; Chordata; Mammalia; Chiroptera; Pteropodidae.
GUCUAGGGUCAUGCCACCCUGAACAAGCCUGAACCCGUCUGAUCUCAGAAGCUAAGUAGGGUCAGGCCUGGUUAGUACUUGGAUGGGAGACCAGCUGCUGUAGGUG